Molecule: ribosomal RNA, 301 nt
Filed under: uncultured bacterium
Lineage: Bacteria
Description: partial 16S ribosomal RNA
Rfam family: Bacterial small subunit ribosomal RNA
Source: RNAcentral
CAGUCGCCGCGGGAAUACAGAGGGUGCGAGCGUUAAUCGGAUUUACUGGGCGUAAAGCGUGCGUAGGCGGCUUCUUAAGUCGGAUGUGAAAUCCCUGAGCUUAACUUAGGAAUUGCAUUCGAUACUGGGAAGCUAGAGUAUGGGAGAGGAUGGUAGAAUUCCAGGUGUAGCGGUGAAAUGCGUAGAGAUCUGGAGGAAUACCGAUGGCGAAGGCAGCCAUCUGGCCUAAUACUGACGCUGAGGUACGAAAGCAUGGGGAGCAAACAGGAUUAGAGACCCCUGUAGUCCCUGUCUCUUAUAC